Molecule: microRNA, 23 nt
Filed under: Sphenodon punctatus (tuatara)
Lineage: Eukaryota; Metazoa; Chordata; Lepidosauria; Sphenodontia; Sphenodontidae
Description: Spt-Mir-1329_3p* (star (passenger))
Source: RNAcentral
CCUCGUAGCUUGAUCACGAUAUC